UGUUUAUUUUUUAGUUAUUUUUUUAUACAAUUUUUUGACUCUUUUUUUUUACUAUUAUUUAUUUUAUUUAUAUAUUUAUUUCUGCAGAAUCGUUCCGCCGCAACGCGCGGGUCCUUCACUAGUUGCAUAUUAAGAGAGAGCCAAGACGCCGGCUAAUUAAGGCCAAUUUUUUUUGGUCCGUACGGGUCGAGAGAGAAGCCACUUUGGAGUUGCUCGUUGCGGCGUUUCCGAUCUAAUUAAACUUUGGUUCUUUUAAGAGAUCUUCUUUGUACUCCGCCUUUUCGAUAUUAAUAAAUUAUUUGCUCCGUCUUCGCCCGUGGACGUAUGCCGUUGGCCGAACCACGUAAAUAUCGAAAGGAAAGGAAGGAGAAGAAGAGAAGAAAGGAGAAGAAGGAAAGGAAAGAGAAGAAGAUCGAGAAGGGGAUCGUCGUCACCCUCUUCUUCUUCCUCGUGCUUGGAGCAUCUUGGAAAGGUCUGUGAACGCGUUGGCGAAGUCGGUUUGACGAUUCGUCGAGCUGGUACAAAGAUAUUGAAGAAACGGACGUUCGAGCUUCGUUUCCGCCUGCAGGGCCGAGGCGGCGUCCAUAAAUCGUGAAAACGGAUUCCGAGCAUCGUGGCAACUAACUGAAGAUCUAUAAUUCCCGAAACUGCAAAGCCACGCACAGUUGGUGUGCAACUACGAAAUCGGGCCAAACCGGGUGCCGAGUGCCGCGGGAGGCCGAUUGCAAGUGUCGACAAGCAAUCGGAGAGCGAAUCAAGGUUUGCACGUGAGCGGCGCGGCGGCGCGAGGCAAGGGCGUAGCUCCAUAGAUAGCGCCCUACCCCAGAGACCAGAGGUAGCAGUACCCAGAGGUGGUCGAGCUUAGAGGUUUGAAAAACAGAAAACAAACUUGUAAUAUUUGUGAUAAUCGGAUUGUAUUUUGGAAGUUCAAUGUAAACAAAUGUAUUAUGUGGAACUUGAGAAUGAAUGCUUGUAAUAACAUAGGAUGUGUUAUGUUUUUGA
Long non-coding RNA from Ananas comosus (pineapple), 1002 nucleotides. RefSeq lists it as uncharacterized. Lineage: Eukaryota; Viridiplantae; Streptophyta; Magnoliopsida; Poales; Bromeliaceae. The record is from RefSeq and is a predicted model, not a curated record. The transcript has 4 exons.